This is an RNA transcript of Lycium ferocissimum, 2117 nucleotides long. It is a transcript of the gene named probable isoprenylcysteine alpha-carbonyl methylesterase ICMEL1, with no coding region annotated. The transcript has 10 exons. Lineage: Eukaryota; Viridiplantae; Streptophyta; Magnoliopsida; Solanales; Solanaceae. The record is from RefSeq and is a predicted model, not a curated record.
AAAUCUUGAAACAUUUCCUGGCGACAUUUUGCAUCAUUCCCAGUAAUCUACUCAACCAGCUUAACAUUCAUGUACGCAAUAAACCAAACAAAUAAUUCCAUGAUCACUUCACUCCAUCAAACACCAUUUCUAUUACUCAAUCUUGAUUUCUCUUCAGAUAAGAUUAUUUUACUCGAUGCAAUCACAGAGUCUUCCUCCUAUUUCUAACCUCUUUACAGCCCCAUCAACAAUGAUCCUCACAAGCUCAACUACUUCUCACACAAUGUUAGUCACAUCACACGACAAUAGGCCUUCCCUAAUGGUUCUCGUUCCUUCUUCAUUUGAUGAUGAUUCAAAAAUCGAGACCAUACCCUUUAUUUCUCUUAAUUUGUUGCAGUAUCUUGGGGUAGGCUACCGAUGGAUCACCAUGUUUCUUGCUCUUGGAUGUUAUGCUUCCCUACUUAUACCUGGUUUUAUUCAAGUUGGAUAUCACUAUUUUUCUUCUUGUCAAGUACUUAGAGAUAUUGCUUAUGGUGAUCAACCGAGAAAUAGGCUUGAUCUAUACCUACCGAAAAAUAAGAACGGGCCAAAGCCAGUUGUUGCAUUUGUAACAGGUGGAGCUUGGAUCAUUGGUAACAAAGCUUGGGGUUCUCUUCUAGGUCAACAGUUAUCAGAAAGAGACAUUAUAGUGGCAUGCAUUGACUGCAGAAAUUUCCCUCAGGGAACUAUCGGCGACAUGGUUAAGGAUGUUUCUCAAGGAAUCUCUUCCGUGUGCAACAACAUAGCUGAAUAUGGAGGUGAUCCUAGAAGGUAUAAUUUGCUUGACCUGGUUGAUCACUUCCAUAGUCGAGGUCUAUACCGUUCAAUUUUUCUAAGCAUAAUGGAAGGGGAUCAAGGUCUAAAACAAUAUUCACCUGAAGUAAUGGUACAAGAUCCAAACAUUAGGAAUGCCGUUUCUCUCCUACCUCCUACUAUCCUUUUUCACGGAACCGCAGAUUAUUCUAUUCCUUGUCACUCCAGGAUCCAAUGAGAGGCGGUAUAGAUGAUAUGUUAGAAGAUAUAAUUUCAAUAAUUCAUGGUGAAGAUUCUGAAACCAUCAAACAAAUGCACCUCCGAGGAAACACCUUGUGCCUGAAUUCAGGUUGAAGUUGGCUUGUACUGUGUGACGAUAUUUAUGGGUGCAACGAGAUUUUUAGAGGAUAUGACCAACAUAGCUACUAAGUUACUAGAUUAAUUUUCUAAGUGCUUAGCUUAAUCACUUCUAUCUAAUGCGAGAUAAUUCAUCAUCCUCUGGAAACAGCUUUCACAGUCUUGUAAAUACAACGUUUGGUAUAAGAAUACUUCAUGACCUAAACAGGUCUGCCGACCAAUGUGUAUAUAUAUAGAGUGUAGCAGGUAAUUAAAGAAGUGCUUUUAAUUUGUUAGUAGGCGUUUGGCUAUAGAAACCAAAAAAAAAAAUCGCUUUUUUUGGAAUUUGGAGUUGGAGUUGGAGUUGGAGUUGGCCAUAGUUUUUGCAAAUAGUAUUUUUUGUUGAAAUGUACUUGUUUUGAUUGUGAAAAGUGAAAAACUUGAAAAGUUUUUCUUGUUUUCCAAAUUCCAAAUACAACUUGAAAUUGUAUUUGGAAUUUUCAUGGCCAAACACUAAUUUUUGAAAAAAGUGAAAAAAAAUUCCGGAAAAAAGUGAAUAAUUCUUAUGGCCAAACGGGUCCCAAUAGGUACUCCCGCCGGUCACUUUUACUUGUCACGUUUCGCAUCCCAAGAGUCAAUUUGACUAAUCUUCGGAGCUAAAUUGGAUUAGAUUAUUUUAAUAUUUUAAAAUUAAAAUUUAGAUGUUCGAAAACUAUACGAAAAACUCUAAGUUGGAAUUCAUCUCAUAUUAAUAUGAUGAAGAAAUACAUCUUAAAAUGUUGGUCAAAGUCCAUAUAGUUUGACUCUCGAGAAGCGAAACAUGAUAAGUAAAAGUGAACGGAGGGAGUACUCUCAUUGCCUCAAAUUAUGUGAUACCAUGUGUAUUUCAGUAGUCAAACUUUUUAAUUUUGACCAUGAAUUCGGACAUGAAAUUUUAAAUUUUUUGAAAUAAAAUAACUAUUCAAAGUAUUAUAGGUCACAAUAAUUAAUCAUUCGAAAUAUGUUAAAGG